AUUGAACGCUGGCGGCAGGCCUAACACAUGCAAGUCGAGCGGAUGAAGGGAGCUUGCUCCUGGAUUCAGCGGCGGACGGGUGAGUAAUGCCUAGGAAUCUGCCUGGUAGUGGGGGAUAACGUCCGGAAACGGGCGCUAAUACCGCAUACGUCCUGAGGUAGAAAGUGGGGGAUCUUCGGACCUCACGCUAUCAGAUGAGCCUAGGUCGGAUUAGCUAGUUGGUGGGGUAAAGGCCUACCAAGGCGACGAUCCGUAACUGGUCUGAGAGGAUGAUCAGUCACACUGGAACUGAGACACGGUCCAGACUCCUACGGGAGGCAGCAGUGGGGAAUAUUGGACAAUGGGCGAAAGCCUGAUCCAGCCAUGCCGCGUGUGUGAAGAAGGUCUUCGGAUUGUAAAGCACUGUAAGUUGGGAGGAAGGGCAGUAAGUUAAUACCUUGCUGUUUUGACGUUACCAACAGAAUAAGCACCGGCUAACUUCGUG
This 484-nucleotide ribosomal RNA is filed under the name uncultured bacterium. RNAcentral describes it as "partial 16S ribosomal RNA". It matches the Rfam family "Bacterial small subunit ribosomal RNA", at positions 30 to 507 of the family's 1533-position model. The record is from RNAcentral.